Zalophus californianus (California sea lion) is the source of this 104-nucleotide small nuclear RNA. The record is from Ensembl. NCBI's taxonomy places the organism in Eukaryota, Metazoa, Chordata, Mammalia, Carnivora, Otariidae.
GUGCUUGCUUCAACACAUAUACUAAAAUUGGAACAAUACAGAGAAGAUUAGCAUGGCCCUUGUGCAAGGAUGACAUGCAAAUUUGUGAAGCGUUCCAUAUUUUU